Molecule: microRNA precursor, 120 nt
Filed under: Brassica oleracea var. oleracea
Lineage: Eukaryota; Viridiplantae; Streptophyta; Magnoliopsida; Brassicales; Brassicaceae
Description: MIR9563 microRNA precursor family
Rfam family: MIR9563 microRNA precursor family
Source: Rfam by way of RNAcentral
GAAAGUUAAGAAACUGUUUCUUAACUUUUAACUAAAAAAGCUAAGAUCUUAAAUAAAGACUUUAAGAACCGAUUAUUAGUUUUUUUUAGUUAAAAGUUAAGAAACAGAUUCUUAACUUCC